Molecule: ribosomal RNA, 301 nt
Filed under: uncultured bacterium
Lineage: Bacteria
Description: partial 16S ribosomal RNA
Rfam family: Bacterial small subunit ribosomal RNA
Source: RNAcentral
CAGCAGCCGCGGUAAUACGAAGGGGGCUGGCGUUGUUCGGAAUUACUGGGCGUAAAGCGCACGUAGGCGGAUAUUUAAGUCAGGGGUGAAAUCCCGGGGCUCAACCCCGGAACUGCCUUUGAUACUGGGUAUCUUGAGUUCGAGAGAGGUGAGUGGAAUUCCGAGUGUAGAGGUGAAAUUCGUAGAUAUUCGGAGGAACACCAGUGGCGAAGGCGGCUCACUGGCUCGAUACUGACGCUGAGGUGCGAAAGCGUGGGGAGCAAACAGGAUUAGAUACCCCCGUAGUCCCUGUCUCUUAUAC